UCAACCUCAUCGACUCCACAAAAUGAGGUAUUUACGAUUCAUUUCACACAUUCACAAAUCUCUCCCCCAAAACCCUAGCCCCAAUUUCUUCCACACAACUCAAAACCCUAAUCCUAACCUCUUAGCCCUAAUCCAAUCCAAGCUCCCAUCUUUCAAAUCCUCUUCUGCUCAGCCACCAGCUCCAUCAGAGCAAGUCUCGGCGAUCGUCGAUGAGCUCUCGGGUCUCACUCUCCUCGAGGUCUCGGACCUCGUCGAAGCUCUUCGCGAUAGAUUGGGGACCACUGAGAUGCCGCCGACGAUGAUGGUGAUGAUGCCAGGGAUGGUCCCUGGAGGACUGAAGGGGAAGGGCGGUGGUGCGGCGAAGAAGGUGGAGGAGAAGGCGGAGAAGACCGUACUCGAUGUGAAGCUCGAAGGGUUCGAUGCCGCGGCCAAGAUCAAGGUAAUCAAGGAAGUGAGAAAGGCGUGACUAAGGAGGAGGCCGAGUCGAUUAUUGCUAAGAUGAAGGAGGUUGGCGCCAAAGUUUCAAUGGAAUGAGACUUGCUGGGGGUAAUGAGGACGAAGAACAAGAAGUGCGAGGCUUUCUUGUAUGGAUUGUCAACAUCAAGGGCGGCUGAUGUUAAUGCAUCUCACUUGAAUUACUUUUGGCAAGUUAUAGAGAUUAGUUUAGGUUUCUUCAUAGUGCAGGCAUUCUUUGUUAUAACAGCUUUCCUUAUUUUCUUUAACUUGCAAGAAAUGCAUUCAAGCAAAGUUACACUCAGUUGUCCCUACCUUGCUUCUCUUUUGAGUAAAAAUUUCUUUUUGACUCUUAAGACCUAUUGUGAAACUAGUUUUUGAGGAUGAAUUCAUUCAUCUCAUGGACUAUUUAAGAAUUGUACC
Quercus lobata is the source of this 876-nucleotide RNA transcript. It is a transcript of the gene named 50S ribosomal protein L7/L12-like, with no coding region annotated. The transcript is spliced from 2 exons. Lineage: Eukaryota; Viridiplantae; Streptophyta; Magnoliopsida; Fagales; Fagaceae. The record is from RefSeq and is a predicted model, not a curated record.